RNAcentral lists this ribosomal RNA (497 nucleotides) under uncultured bacterium. RNAcentral describes it as "partial 16S ribosomal RNA". It matches the Rfam family "Bacterial small subunit ribosomal RNA", at positions 28 to 507 of the family's 1533-position model. The record is from RNAcentral.
GAUGAACGCUGGCGACGUGCCUAACACAUGCAAGUCGAGCGAACAGACGAGGAGCUUGCUCCUCUGACGUUAGCGGCGGACGGGUGAGUAACACGUGGAUAACCUACCUAUAAGACUGGGAUAACUUCGGGAAACCGGAGCUAAUACCGGAUAAUAUAUUGAACCGCAUGGUUCAAUAGUGAAAGACGGUUUUGCUGUCACUUAUAGAUGGAUCCGCGCCGCAUUAGCUAGUUGGUAAGGUAACGGCUUACCAAGGCAACGAUGCGUAGCCGACCUGAGAGGGUGAUCGGCCACACUGGAACUGAGACACGGUCCAGACUCCUACGGGAGGCAGCAGUAGGGAAUCUUCCGCAAUGGGCGAAAGCCUGACGGAGCAACGCCGCGUGAGUGAUGAAGGUCUUCGGAUCGUAAAACUCUGUUAUUAGGGAAGAACAAAUGUGUAAGUAACUAUGCACGUCUUGACGGUACCUAAUCAGAAAGCCACGGCUAACUACGUG